This is a long non-coding RNA of Alosa sapidissima (American shad), 599 nucleotides long. RefSeq lists it as uncharacterized. Lineage: Eukaryota; Metazoa; Chordata; Actinopteri; Clupeiformes; Clupeidae. The transcript is spliced from 3 exons. The record is from RefSeq and is a predicted model, not a curated record.
CGGCAGUCUGACACUGGCAUGCGCACUACAGCUCUCGCCGUGUCUACUCAGUAUAACAGGCUGCUAGUAAGCAUCAUCAGCGACCACAUAUGCUCAGUCCCAAUUCCUGUUUCCGCCCCUCGACAGGUUUAUUUUCAAUGCUAUUCUGGCGCCGGAGCAUCUUGCUGAACUUCACCGGGGCCCGGCCAUCCUGCGGAGCAGCAACGCGCUGAUGCAAGGUGCAGCUGGUGGAGUGUCAUGUGUUGGAUUGCAAUUGUGAAAUCAGUGCAGAGGCACAGUCAAGUAAUGUGAAUGGUCAGCCACUCCACUCUCUUUUGAUCAGCUGGACAUCCGGUACAUCGCACUGAACAGCUCCUGAAUCAACCCAUCACACCAACAAGCGGGACUUAUAACCCAGGACCACAGCCUGUCUUUCUUACUUUCUGAGCCCAGCACACCUCUCCCUUCUCCUAUGCUGUGAGGCCCUGCAGAACCUCCUCCAACCCCCUCCCACACACUGAGUCUAGAGGUCAUGUGGUUGUUGACUCUAGUCCCCAAAGCUGGGGGAUCUGUGAUGCCCACCCACCACCUCCUUUGACACCCCACCCCACCUCACCCAG